CUAGGGAGGCUGCAGUGGGGAAUAUUGGACAAUGGGCGAAAGCCUGAUCCAGCCAUGCCGCGUGUGUGAAGAAGGCCUUCGGGUUGUAAAGCACUUUCAGUGGGGAAGAAAGCCUUGGGGCUAAUACCCUCGAGGAAGGACAUCACCCACAGAAGAAGCACCGGCUAACUCCGUGCCAGCAGCCGCGGUAAUACGGAGGGUGCGAGCGUUAAUCGGAAUUACUGGGCGUAAAGCGCGCGUAGGCGGUCUGAUAAGCCGGUUGUGAAAGCCCCGGGCUCAACCUGGGAACGGCAUCCGGAACUGUCAGGCUAGAGUGCAGGAGAGGAAGGUAGAAUUCCCGGUGUAGCGGUGAAAUGCGUAGAGAUCGGGAGGAAUACCAGUGGCGAAGGCGGCCUUCUGGACUGACACUGACGCUGAGGUGCGAAAGCGUGGGUAGCAAACAGGAUUAGAUACCCUGGUAGUC
This 463-nucleotide ribosomal RNA is filed under the name Vreelandella stevensii. RNAcentral describes it as "partial 16S ribosomal RNA". It matches the Rfam family "Bacterial small subunit ribosomal RNA", at positions 339 to 795 of the family's 1533-position model. The record is from RNAcentral. Lineage: Bacteria; Pseudomonadati; Pseudomonadota; Gammaproteobacteria; Oceanospirillales; Halomonadaceae.